Salvelinus sp. IW2-2015 is the source of this 843-nucleotide non-coding RNA. The record is from RefSeq and is a predicted model, not a curated record. NCBI's taxonomy places the organism in Eukaryota, Metazoa, Chordata, Actinopteri, Salmoniformes, Salmonidae.
UGUUCUUCACAGGCACCAAAGUCACUUGCGCGACCAGCACCAGAGAUAUUACAAAAGUAUCAAUGCCAGCAUCCUCCUUAUUAGGUUUCCGAUGACGCAAUGAGUAUCUGUCAUGGCUGCACACUGAUGUCACUCACAGCACAUAGGUUGAAAUACACAAAUGUAUACCAUUGAGUUGAAAUAACCUACAUUACAGCAGUAAGGGUAUAUAUUGUAAAUGUACAAUUAUGCCGAUCCCGGUUGGAAACAGUAUUGACUUCAUUUGUAAGACUGCUGCAAAUCACAUUUUGGGAUGUUGCGGGACGCUGAGAUUCCCGUGCUCCGGGGUUUUCUGAAACCAAGCGGCGAGGCAACUGAAUGGAAGCAGAAUGUUUUCAGCGCUGCAGAGGUGGGUCCCGUGCUGCAGUCCUUGUUUGAUCGGGACUUUGAGGCGGUGCUGAUGAGUCCUCAGGUCUUGGACCUGCUGGGUGGAGGAGACUGCAGCGAUGGAGAGGCCAUUGAUGCCUACCUGAAGAGACGGGUCCUGGCCUACCUCAAUGACAGCACAGAGGAGGGCAAGGCUGACGGGUAGAAACAAUAUCUGGGGAGAUUGCUCUGUUGGCCCUGGCAGUCGCCAGCCUUCACCUCGUCAGAGUAACUGGACGAGUCCCCCUGUCACCAUCCAUGUCCCUGACCUGCUGCCCCCGGGCCCUGCUAUCCUCACUCACUGAGCCUGGGGCCCUGACCUCAGCCCUGCUCGGCAGUCUUCUACUGGAUGGAGAGUCUGUGUAAAGCCUGGUGUGGAACUCCUUCCUGCUGCUAGCCAGGGUCCCGCUGGUCAACUGUGCUAUCAAGCUGGGCAGC